UCUAGCAUUUCAGGGAUUUCUGGGAAGACUUAUUUAAUCUACCUUGUCAUGUGCUGACAUUUAAUAAACACCUCACUCCUUUCCAGGUAUUUUUAACAGUGAGCUGCAGAAGAGUAAAUCCCUGGCCAGUUAACAGUAUUGAAAUGACCGAACAGCUUCUCUCUUGAAAAACAAGACUAAUGGUCUGUGGGAAUUCUGGGAAGGUGGUAGAGAAGCAUCAGGUGUUAUAGGAGAAAAGGCCUUCAAUUGUCUUAAGGUACGUGAGAAUUCAGUAACUGGUUCCAGAGGUUGUUUAUGGUAUUUUACUAUUGGAGUCACU
RNAcentral lists this long non-coding RNA (319 nucleotides) under Canis lupus familiaris (dog). Its description in RNAcentral is "lncRNA (ENSCAFG00000046220.2, ENSCAFG00845024541.1)". The record is from RNAcentral. Lineage: Eukaryota; Metazoa; Chordata; Mammalia; Carnivora; Canidae.